ACGUAGUACGUGGCUCUCAAAAGUAGGGGCCUACAGCUCAAAAGGCGGAAAACCGUAGGAAUGAAAUGCACCUUGCAGACAGCAAUAACAUGCAUGCACGGCAGGGGUUUCUACCAUUUCCACAACAGCUGCAUGCUCAUGACAGAUGGGUGCCAUCUGUGUGUUCAUUGUCCUCAACACAAGAUCCUGUCGACCACCUGGGGCAAUCUCGAAGCAACGGGUGGCUCACAUCGGCACUUUUGGAAACCUUUGGAGUAACAGGAUUGCAGCGUCUCGUGGCAGCCACAGUGCAGAACCAACUCACGUUGAGCUGCUUGACCUGUGCCGGGGAGGCAAACACCACAGUGCCGUUGGUGCGCCCCUGGGCAGAGGUGACCACUACCGCACUGGGAGCCGGGCUGGAGCGUGCUGCCGUGGUCGUGCUGCUGGCACGCGAGACGGGCGCGCUGCUGGUCACCACGGUCGCUCCUUCUUCCAUCAGCA
This is a long non-coding RNA of Dermacentor albipictus, 483 nucleotides long. RefSeq lists it as uncharacterized. NCBI's taxonomy places the organism in Eukaryota, Metazoa, Arthropoda, Arachnida, Ixodida, Ixodidae. The record is from RefSeq and is a predicted model, not a curated record.